AACCUAUGGUGAGGGCAUAUUCUCAAGAGGUCCUUGUAUCUCUCCCAUACGUCGUAGAGUGUUUCUAAAUCCAUAUACAUAAGAAAAGAGAUAUUAUUACGUAAUUU
This 107-nucleotide small nucleolar RNA is filed under the name Gossypium hirsutum (cotton). RNAcentral describes it as "Plant small nucleolar RNA R71". It matches the Rfam family "Plant small nucleolar RNA R71". From Rfam's summary of the family: R71 is a member of the C/D box family of snoRNAs containing the C (UGAUGA) and D (CUGA) box motifs. Multiple nearly identical copies of this snoRNA have been identified in Arabidopsis, and it is thought to function as a 2'-O-ribose methylation guide for 18S ribosomal RNA. Lineage: Eukaryota; Viridiplantae; Streptophyta; Magnoliopsida; Malvales; Malvaceae. The record is from Rfam by way of RNAcentral.